UUCUAGUUCGUCGAUAUGUUG
RNAcentral lists this non-coding RNA (21 nucleotides) under Arabidopsis thaliana (thale cress). The record is from RNAcentral. Lineage: Eukaryota; Viridiplantae; Streptophyta; Magnoliopsida; Brassicales; Brassicaceae.